UUCAUGGCGAAUGUGCACAGAAUGUGGUAGCUCUCAAUGCCACCUUGCGUAAUUGGAAGGCGAUCGCCAAGGAGAUGAGUGUUCGUACCUUUUGCACUCCAGAUAGCGUCAUUAGAAAGCAUAUGCAUGAUACGCACAAGAUCCUGGAGAUGCUCGGCGCGCCUAUUGUCACCUUCCUCGCGUUUCAGGAGCUUCAGGUCAACACACUUUCGCUCAUGAAACAGGAGCAGGAGAAGAGGAUGCAAGCAAUGGGGAGGCAUGGUGUGACGAGAGAGUAUCAUCCACCUUCCCUAUCCCAGCGUGACAAC
RNAcentral lists this small RNA (308 nucleotides) under Histoplasma capsulatum var. duboisii H88. RNAcentral describes it as "Histoplasma capsulatum H88 hypothetical RNA". Lineage: Eukaryota; Fungi; Ascomycota; Eurotiomycetes; Onygenales; Ajellomycetaceae. The record is from RNAcentral.